This 642-nucleotide ribosomal RNA is filed under the name Candida tropicalis. RNAcentral describes it as "partial large subunit ribosomal RNA". It matches the Rfam family "Eukaryotic large subunit ribosomal RNA", at positions 245 to 909 of the family's 3401-position model. The record is from RNAcentral. Lineage: Eukaryota; Fungi; Ascomycota; Pichiomycetes; Serinales; Debaryomycetaceae.
UGUAAAGUUCCUUCGAAGAGUCGAGUUGUUUGGGAAUGCAGCUCUAAGUGGGUGGUAAAUUCCAUCUAAAGCUAAAUAUUGGCGAGAGACCGAUAGCGAACAAGUACAGUGAUGGAAAGAUGAAAAGAACUUUGAAAAGAGAGUGAAAAAGUACGUGAAAUUGUUGAAAGGGAAGGGCUUGAGAUCAGACUUGGUAUUUUGUAUGUUACUUCUUCGGGGGUGGCCUCUACAGUUUAUCGGGCCAGCAUCAGUUUGGGCGGUAGGAGAAUUGCGUUGGAAUGUGGCACGGCUUCGGUUGUGUGUUAUAGCCUUCGUCGAUACUGCCAGCCUAGACUGAGGACUGCGGUUUAUACCUAGGAUGUUGGCAUAAUGAUCUUAAGUCGCCCGUCUUGAAACACGGACCAAGGAGUCUAACGUCUAUGCGAGUGUUUGGGUGUAAAACCCGUACGCGUAAUGAAAGUGAACGUAGGUGGGGGCCCGUAUGGGUGCACCAUCGACCGAUCCUGAUGUCUUCGGAUGGAUUUGAGUAAGAGCAUAGCUGUUGGGACCCGAAAGAUGGUGAACUAUGCCUGAAUAGGGUGAAGCCAGAGGAAACUCUGGUGGAGGCUCGUAGCGGUUCUGACGUGCAAAUCGAUCGUCGAA